Molecule: ribosomal RNA, 440 nt
Filed under: uncultured bacterium
Lineage: Bacteria
Description: partial 16S ribosomal RNA
Rfam family: Bacterial small subunit ribosomal RNA
Source: RNAcentral
CCUACGGGUGGCAGCAGUAGGGAAUAUUGCUCAAUGGGGGAAACCCUGAAGCAGCAACGCCGCGUGGAGGAUGAAGGUUCUCGGAUUGUAAACUUCUUUUGUUAGAGAAGAUAAUGACGGUAUCUAACGAAUAAGCACCGGCUAACUCCGUGCCAGCAGCCGCGGUAAUACGGAGGGUGCAAGCGUUACUCGGAAUCACUGGGCGUAAAGAGCGCGUAGGCGGGAUAGCAAGUCAGAUGUGAAAUCCUAUGGCUUAACCAUAGAACUGCAUGUGAAACUGUUAGUCUAGAGUAUAGUAGAGGUAGGUGGAAUGCUUGGUGUAGGGGUAAAAUGCGUAGAGAUCAAGAAGAAUACUCAUUGCGAAGGCGACCUGCUAGAACAUAACUGACGCUGAUGCGCGAAAGCGUGGGGAGCAAACAGGAUUAGAUACCCGGGUAGUC